Molecule: long non-coding RNA, 379 nt
Organism: Lycium barbarum (goji berry)
Lineage: Eukaryota; Viridiplantae; Streptophyta; Magnoliopsida; Solanales; Solanaceae
Exons: 2
Source: RefSeq, a predicted model, not a curated record
AGGUUUUGGACGAAACGGGAUUUGAGUUUUGGCAAGCGUAAAGGGCAAGAAAGGUACAGACGACAGGUUCGCUGAUCCACACGUUUAGGAUCCCGUUUCUGCUAUUUUGGGGCGCUCUCUUCUUUAGAGCCCAUCUUUUGGUACGGUCUGUCACUGAUAUCUGGAUAUGUACUUUGUUCAGGGUAUGACGGGGCCCUGUCCCGUCUUAUGAUUAUGAUAUGUUCUGUAGAGGUCUGUGGAUACAUCUGUGUGGGUUCUGUACAUAUGUUUGGGAUACUUUGUUCUAUGAUGGCCUUAUCGGCUUCUGUGUGCCAAGUCUGCUCUUCUGCUAAAUCCUGUAGCAUCCACUAAUGUUAUUAUUAUAUUAUUAUUCUGAUAA